AGUGAACGCUGGCGGUAGGCCUAACACAUGCAAGUCGAACGGAAGCACAGUAAGAGCUUGCUCUUACGGGUGGCGAGUGGCGGACGGGUGAGGAAUACAUCGGAAUCUACUUUUUCGUGGGGGAUAACGUAGGGAAAAUUACGCUAAUACCGCAUACGACCUACGGGUGAAAGCAGGGGAUCUUCGGACCUUGCGCGAUUGAAUGAGCCGAUGUCGGAUUAGCUAGUUGGCGGGGUAAAGGCCCACCAAGGCGACGAUCCGUAGCUGGUCUGAGAGGAUGAUGAGCCACACUGGAACUGAGACACAGUCCAGACUCCUACGGGAGGGAGCAGUGGGGAAUAUUGGACAAUGGGCGGAAGCCUGAUCCAGCCAUACCGCGUGGGUGAAGAAGGCCUUCGGGUUGUAAAGCCCUUUUGUUGGGAAAGAAAAGCAGCAGGUUAAUACCCCGCUGUUCUGACGGUACCCAAAGAAUAAGCACCGGCUAACUUCGUG
RNAcentral lists this ribosomal RNA (492 nucleotides) under uncultured bacterium. RNAcentral's name for it is "partial 16S ribosomal RNA". It matches the Rfam family "Bacterial small subunit ribosomal RNA", at positions 29 to 507 of the family's 1533-position model. The record is from RNAcentral.